RNAcentral lists this ribosomal RNA (253 nucleotides) under uncultured bacterium. Its description in RNAcentral is "partial 16S ribosomal RNA". It matches the Rfam family "Bacterial small subunit ribosomal RNA", at positions 524 to 776 of the family's 1533-position model. The record is from RNAcentral.
UACGGAGGGGGCAAGCGUUGUUCGGAAUUACUGGGCGUAAAGGGCGCGCAGGUGGCCAAGUGUGUUAGGCGUGAAAGCCCGGGGCUUAACCCCGGAAUUGCACCUAAAACUACUUGGCUAGAGCAUUGGAGAGGGGAGCAGAAUUCAUGGUGUAGCAGUGAAAUGCGUAGAUAUCAUGAGGAAUACCAGAGGCGAAGGCGGCUCCCUGGACAAUUGCUGACACUCAGGCACGAAAGCGUGGGGAGCAAAAGGG